This is a long non-coding RNA of Lemur catta (Ring-tailed lemur), 1212 nucleotides long. RefSeq lists it as uncharacterized. The transcript has 3 exons. Lineage: Eukaryota; Metazoa; Chordata; Mammalia; Primates; Lemuridae. The record is from RefSeq and is a predicted model, not a curated record.
ACUGACUGCGUUUUGGAGAUGAGGGAACAGACCCUGUGGACCUUGGCCUCACUUGACCUGUUUGCUAAAGGCCAUGCAUGGAGCAGUGACCAGAAUCCAGGAGUUGUACAUUCAGGCGCAUUGGCUAGCCGAGAUCAAUAAACCACUGGCAGAGGAUGGGAGAGUCUGAGAAAGAAGAAACGUAAAAGGAAAGGCUAUGUGAGCACCCAGCAAGAAGAUGACCACCUGCCAGCCGGGAAGAGAACCCUCACCAGGAACCGACUCAAGUCAGAACCUUGAUCUUGGACUUCCAGCCUCCAGAACUGUGGCAUUUUGUUACGGCGUCCGAGCAGACUAAGACACCAUCCCCCCGCCUGUUUAGCUGGGUGAUUCCAUAAUGCAAGUUUCCCAUGAGCACCUCAAAAUCGUUCUCCCUCCUCCUCUCGUCGGUGGGCAGGAUCUGACAAUUGUUUGGAGUCAAGUGACGAUAUCCCCUGGAUAGUGAAAAUAGUUAUCAUGCAUUUUGCACUCACUGUGUGCCAGGUCCUUUUCCAUGUGUGAAUUUAUUUAAUAAUUACAACGACCCUGUAAAGUGGGUGCUAUUACUAUUACAUCAUUUUACAGAAAAGGAAACUGAGGCAUCGGGGAGUUAAGUAGCUAAGUAAGAUGACUCAACUACAUAUUGGGAAGAGGAUUCCAACCCAAGUAGUCUGGUUUCAGGUCUGUACCUUUAACUACGCUGUGAUACCCUACCUCUAAGUUUAAGCAAUAGCUCGCAUUUAUUGUGCCCUUGUUUUGGGCCAGACUCUACGCAUCUUAUAUGAAUCCAUGUAUUUAAUUAUCUUAUCAACUCUAUGAAAUAGGUACUAUUUUGCAUACGAGAAAAUGGAAGCGCAGAGAGGUUAAGUGAUGAGCUUAAGGUCACAUAAGGUGAUUACUUUUACAGGUAGACUCCUUGGCAGUCAAGCCGGGCACCCUUGCUCCAGACACUGCACUCUUUUCUAGAAGGCACACAGAUGAUCAAAGACAAGCACUGGCCCUAUUUUAUCUCUGCUUCUACUUUCAACCUCAAGCAAGGUGCUUGCAACACUGGAGAAAAAUCAAUAAAUGGUUGUCAAAGGCCUCAUUUUUUAAAACUGGGAUACAAAAAUCAUUUCUAUAAAUGAAAGCUUAGUUAUGUGAUGGAGACGACAUACUCCAAUUAAUGGGAAGAAGAUGAACGAUUUGAUUCAU